Molecule: transfer RNA, 76 nt
Filed under: Smithella sp. PtaU1.Bin162
Lineage: Bacteria; Pseudomonadati; Thermodesulfobacteriota; Syntrophia; Syntrophales; Smithellaceae
Also listed under: 1 other name
Description: tRNA-Thr
Rfam family: tRNA
About the family: Transfer RNA (tRNA) molecules are approximately 80 nucleotides in length. Their secondary structure includes four short double-helical elements and three loops (D, anti-codon, and T loops).
Source: RNAcentral
GCCGAUGUAGCUCAGCUGGUAGAGCAGCUGAUUCGUAAUCAGCAGGUCAGCGGUUCGAUCCCGCUCAUCGGCUCCA